Molecule: ribosomal RNA, 1436 nt
Filed under: uncultured bacterium
Lineage: Bacteria
Description: bacterial SSU rRNA
Rfam family: Bacterial small subunit ribosomal RNA
Source: RNAcentral
AGAGUUUGAUCCUGGCUCAGAACGUACGCUGGCGGCACGCCUAAUACAUGCAAGUCGAACGAAGUAGCAAUACUUAGUGGCAGACGGGUGAGUAACAUGUAGGUAUCUACCCUUUGGCCUGGAAUAACACGAGGAAACUUGUGCUAAUACCGGAUAAGUCUUUACGGAGAAAGCUUUAUGCACCAUUGGAUGAGCUUGCACUUGAUUAGUUUGUUGGUGGGGUAAUGGCCUACCAAGACAAUGAUCAAUAGCUGAUUUGAGAGGAUGAUCAGCCACAUUGGGACUGAGACACGGCCCAAACUCCUACGGGAGGCAGCAGUAGGGAAUCUUGCACAAUGGAGGAAACUCUGAUGCAGCGAUGCCGCGUGAGUGAAGAAGGCCUUUGGGUUGUAAAGCUCUUUCGUCGGGGAAGAAAAUGACUGUACCCGAAUAAGAAGGUCCGGCUAACUUCGUGCCAGCAGCCGCGGUAAUACGAAGGGACCUAGCGUAGUUCGGAAUUACUGGGCUUAAAGAGUUCGUAGGUGGUUAAAAAAGUUGGUGGUGAAAUCCCAGAGCUUAACUCUGGAACUGCCAUCAAAACUUUUUAGCUGGAGUAUGAUAGAGGAAAGCAGAAUUUCUAGUGUAGAGGUGAAAUUCGUAGAUAUUAGAAAGAAUACCGAUUGCGAAGGCAGCUUUCUGGAUCAUUACUGACACUGAGGAACGAAAGCAUGGGUAGCGAAGAGGAUUAGAUACCCUCGUAGUCCAUGCCGUAAACGAUGUGUGUUAGACGUUGGAAAUUUAUUUUCAGUGUCGCAGCGAAAGCGAUAAACACACCGCCUGGGGAGUACGACCGCAAGGUUAAAACUCAAAUGAAUUGACGGGGACCCGCACAAGUAGUGGAGCAUGUGGUUUAAUUCGAAGAUACGCGCAGAACCUUACCAACACUUGACAUGUUCGUCGCGACUCUAAGAGAUUAGAGUUUUCGGUUCGGCUGGACGAAACACAGGUGCUGCAUGGCUGUCGUCAGCUCGUGUCGUGAGAUGUUGGGUUAAGUCCCGCAACGAGCGCAACCCUUACUUUUAGUUGCCAUCAUUUAGUUGGGCACUCUGAAAGAACUGCCAGUGAUAAGCUGGAGGAAGGUGGGGAUGACGUCAAGUCCUCAUGGCCCUUAUGUGUUGGGCUACACACGUGCUACAAUGGUAUCUACAACAGGAAGCAAGAUGGCAACAUUAAGCAAAUCCCAAAAAGAUACCUCAGUUCGGAUUGCACUCUGCAACUCGAGUGCAUGAAGCUGGAAUUACUAGUAAUCGUGGAUCAGCGUGCCACGGUGAAUACGUUCCCGGGUCUUGUACACACCGCCCGUCACACCAUGGGAGUUGGUUCUACCUUAAGGCAAAGUUUAAAACCUUUGACCACGGUAUAGUCAGCGACUGGGGUGAAGUCGUAACAAGGUAACC